Long non-coding RNA from Zingiber officinale, 3872 nucleotides. RefSeq lists it as uncharacterized. NCBI's taxonomy places the organism in Eukaryota, Viridiplantae, Streptophyta, Magnoliopsida, Zingiberales, Zingiberaceae. The record is from RefSeq and is a predicted model, not a curated record. The transcript is spliced from 2 exons.
UCCAAUGGCCGAAAUAGAACAAGGUCAUAAUCUUCUUCCUUCUCGGUCCAUGAGAAUUGCAGAUAUCGUAUUCCAUCCAGUGCCCACAAAGCUCGAUUUUAGGAUGCAUUUGACGACCUGCAGCAAUGGAUUGCCUGAUACGCGAUAAAUCCUACCUCGCGAAGGUAGGUUUUUCCUCUGACUAUUUGAUUAUUUUUCCUGAAGAGAUCUAAUGCUUCGGAAACAGAGCUUCUGCAAUGGAUUAAGAGCGAUGCGAAAGAGCUUUGGAAAUGCCGUUUUCUAGGUAUUCUUUUUCGUAUCAAAGAUUUGUUUUAACUGUGAGGGAGGAAAGAAAGAAGAAGCAGCAGAAUUGGUGUAAAGAAUAAAGAUGGCCGGAGAUCGGGGAAAGGGAGAUCGACAGAUUUGACCGCUCUCUAAGGCCUUGAGGCGGAACGAAGCGUUCCACAUGAAAACUGAGAGAACUUGGUUUAGCUUCUCUAGUUCGCCCUUUGUCAUCGCUGGCGAGAUCAGAAAGAGAAGAAAGGGUGGGCGACGAUACAUCGAGUAACUUUAAUCAUAUUUGUUUCUUCUGCUGCAGCGACUCUAGCAAUCGAGCUGCGUAUAGAAUAAAUUUUGGAAUUGAAUGAAUUUUACAGGCGUAGAGAAUAAAUUUUGGUUUGGGGAUGGCAAAAUUGGGUUUGAUCUCUUGGUCAGUUUAUGAUGGAGGUUGCUAUGUCCUAGAAGAAGAUAAUUCCACCUAAGUUUGGAAAGUGAAGGACUCCAUUCAUGAUAAUUGAAAUAAAUUCAGAACAACCUGCCUGAGGUGGGGCUAGUGCAAAGAACUCACUGGGAAAGGUGCAAGUAAAUCUACUAUGCCGUGAAAAGUAAUCAUAUGGUAAGCUGAUUUUACUGCUACUAUACUGCCAUGUAACUGUCUCCAAUUUGCAGACUCAGAUGAGAUUGUAUAUGGCAAAUGAUGCAAAUUUUGAAGCAUACUGAAUGAGACAGGCUUAUCAUAUAAUAGCCGAAGAGAAAGAUGGGUGGAUUUGAGCUCUUAAAUCCUGACAAGCUUAUUAGCACAUACUAGGUAUAGAUCUGGAAAGAGGCUUCUCACCACAACCCCCAUGUCCAUUCCCAGAGCAGAAAGGAAAUUCUGAUCAUCUAGAUUCCCCCUCAAUGAUUCUCAACAUGCAAAAAUCCCAAACAUUCCAGGUAUUCUUCUAUGAGAAAUUUUCCGUUCUCUUUUGCUGCACAAAUUUUCUGAGGUUCACUCAGAUCAAAGCUGAUGAAGAUAAAAUUUUGAAGAAUUUUUGCUAUGCUGUAUUCACUGAAUUAACUUAAAAUCAGGUUGUCAAACAUUUCUGACCUCAAAUUUACUCCCACUUCUCAGGAUCUUUAACUUUGGAUUUAUGUAAAAGUUUCUGAAUGAUAAUUAAAGCUGUUGAUAUUAAUUUCCACCUUCUCCAUGUCUUAUCAUAGAAUGACAGGCUGUAUGGAGACUCCAUAUGCCACCUUGGAGUUUCUAGCUCGCUUAAUGUUAUGUGUCUCUUUGCUACAUCAACAAUCACCAUCGGCUCCAUGUCAGCAAUGAAGAGGAGUAAUGCCAGGGGCGCAUUUUUAACAAUUGCAUUUUAUGUUGUCCCAGUUAUAUUUUUUGUGGUUUUAAUUUGAAGAAGUCACCAACCAUAAUGCAAUUGGAUUUAGCUAUGAGAGUCCAUCAUGACUAAGGGAUUAAGAAUAAAUUUAUUUAUUAGGAGCCAGACCAAGUUUAUAGAAAGAAAUUGUGUAUUCUAUAUAUUUGUAAUGUUUUUUUUAAAAAAAAAAACAAUAUUAAGCAUGCUUAAUCCAAGUAAUACUUUCUUUAUCCUCCAAGAAGAUUCAGAUUACCUCUCUUCCCCUUGACUAAUUGAAGGUGAUUUUGUGUUCUCUCUAUCAAUGAACAUUAUUUAUCCUCAUCCUUUGCUGUCUAACAUUCAAAGCAAGCCCGGUUGCAUAAAUUAAACGAGUUUGCAGGUUGACCAUCACCUCCCCCAUCUUAUGUCUUUAUUGGCAACUCCUAAGAUGUACACUUUCUGCUUGUUUUUUAGAUUACCUAUCAAAAGCCCUUAAUCUCUCAUUUUCUGAUGAAAGCAAAAUUUUAAUCUAAGACCUUAGCGACAACUUCUAAGGUCCUCACCUACUAAGCUAGUUGACACUUUAUUCAGCUGUUUCUCAUCUGGACUAAUUGCAUUUUUCCUGAAUAUACAGAAGAAUAAUGCAUCUACAAAUUGAAUGCAAUGGAAUACAAAUUGUAUAUGUGUAGUGGUGUUGGAAACAGCACCCUAGUUAAGGCAAAUAUUUUCAGAUAUAUCUCAAUAGAAGUCAAUUAGAACAUUUUGCCUCGGGAAGCAGUUAGUCUAUUAAUAAACAGAUUAACUGUGUUGAGGUUCCUACUUGAAAGCUUAAAUUUAAUAAUUUUUAAGAUUUUUUUUGUAUAAUAUUGGCUUGUCAUCGGAUCAUUCAAUCUGCCCAUGUUCUAUUGGCAAAUGAUCAUUGUUUCAUUGGAUGGUGUCAUGUAUUCUAAGGACACAAGAUAGUUUUGUUUAUAAAUGGCAUAAGUUUUGAAAGUGGAAUAUAUAUUGUUCUAAUUUUGUGCUGUUUCAUACUUGUACAUCGGUUGUUUUUGUUAAUUGUGGUUUUACUAAUCCUCACAAUGAUAUGCAGUUUUGUGUUGAUAUCUUAUAUGCAAAGGUUCAUAAUUUUGAAUUAUUGGACUUGUUAAGUAGCAAAUCUGACAGUUUGUAGGAAUCUUUGCAUACUAGGAUCAUUACCCUUCUCCAACUUUGCCAAGAUUGUGAUGUACUCCCUAUUUUGUAUAUGCAAUUAGUAUCUCUUUUAUAAAUAAUGACCGUCAUGUUCCUGCAAGUCAAGUUUUCUUCUCUUCCUCUUUCGUGUAAUCUUCAAUUUGAAUUCUUCACCAACAUUUUUAGUGGUAAUUUGUAUCUUCAUGAGCCACUUCUGCGAGUGCAAUUGAAAAUUUAAAAAAAAAAUCCAACAAACUCCACCUUAUCGUCCAUGGUAUUGAAUAUUUUCUGUAGUUGACCACUUUUUUGCAGAUACGAGGAUGAAAAUGAAUAGUCAGUAUUUGGUGAUACUUUGGAAAUGGCAAUCUGUUACUACUUUAAAUGCUAAGAUCACACUAGAUUCAACUAAUCUUGUUGCCUGAAUCAAUCACGGUAUAUUGAAUGGAAGUGGACCAUUACCAUUGUACAUCUACUUUCAUUAUAAAUAUUGGAGACUGGAUGCAUACCCACAGAUCUGUUAUUUCAGGAGACACUGUGAAUUCAGGUUCUGUUUAUAUUCUGCUUUGAACUCGUAUGUAGUUUGUAACUUACUCUCUUCUUAUACAGUAGGAUUUUGUUUUUGUCUCCAUUGAUGUAUAACCACAUGUAUCUUGAACAUUCUCGCAGGCAGUAUCCUACAUUUCCUUUUCAAUCUCUGUGGUGAAAAAAAAUGAAAUUGAUAGGUAAGUGGGGGACCGAGACAAGCUGCCGUGAGGCUGCCAGUGGAGAUGGGAGGUUGGUGGAUCAAUUCUGGCUAGAUGGAAUGAAGCUUGAUAGGGAUAAAGAGAGAAUGAAUGGAAUGAGUGGCCUGGCAGUCAGGUCGAGCACGAUGAUGCAGACAGGAAAGCGACAGGUUGGCGAUAGCAACAGGACAGCGACUUCCUUGUCAGCUCGACUAGGGAAACUGGUCCACAAGCAAGACACUUCCGGAUAUAUCUCCAUGGAACAGUGCAGUUGUCACCGCAGUAGGAGUGCAAGAAAGAACGUGUGACAGAAUGACAUAAAAUAUGGAAACGAGUGGCUGUUUCUGAACAAUUGAAUGAAUGAAUGAAUGAAUGGUUGGAAUUUUCA